GGGGAUGAUCGGUUUCGACGACGGUUGUCGAUUGAAGGGAAGCGGGUCGAGGAUGCACAGUCAUCUCGCUAACGAUCUGUGUAAACCAAUAGGUGCCAAACAGAAUCGCACCGACUUCGCUCUGGCCGCCUGAGCCAUCGAGCGCUAAAAAGUCCGUCACCCUAGACUUUGCUUUCGGUCUAGGUGCUGGCGUCGUUUAGAAAGCCACUGGCUGCUGGUGUGGUUGCUUCAUCAGCGGCGAGAUUUAUAGCAACUGGGCCUGUCCAAUAACGUCGUUCAUGCGAGUUUGGGGGCCGAGAAAAUCCAGAAUGAACUGCACCCGGAGAAGACUUCAGGGCCAGCCGCCGGACGCGGGUUCGAUUCCCGCCAUCUCCACCC
RNAcentral lists this transfer-messenger RNA (378 nucleotides) under Boudabousia tangfeifanii. Its description in RNAcentral is "Standard tmRNA". It matches the Rfam family "transfer-messenger RNA". From Rfam's summary of the family: Bacterial tmRNA, also known as 10Sa RNA or SsrA, is named for its dual tRNA and mRNA-like properties. Its role is to liberate the mRNA from a stalled ribosome. Lineage: Bacteria; Bacillati; Actinomycetota; Actinomycetes; Actinomycetales; Actinomycetaceae. The record is from Rfam by way of RNAcentral.